This 419-nucleotide ribosomal RNA is filed under the name Clostridioides difficile. RNAcentral's name for it is "bacterial SSU rRNA". It matches the Rfam family "Bacterial small subunit ribosomal RNA", at positions 1 to 427 of the family's 1533-position model. Lineage: Bacteria; Bacillati; Bacillota; Clostridia; Peptostreptococcales; Peptostreptococcaceae. The record is from RNAcentral.
UUUUAUUUGAGAGUUUGAUCCUGGCUCAGGAUGAACGCUGGCGGCGUGCCUAACACAUGCAAGUUGAGCGAUUUACUUCGGUAAAGAGCGGCGGACGGGUGAGUAACGCGUGGGUAACCUACCCUGUACACACGGAUAACAUACCGAAAGGUAUGCUAAUACGGGAUAAUAUAUUUGAGAGGCAUCUCUUGAAUAUCAAAGGUGAGCCAGUACAGGAUGGACCCGCGUCUGAUUAGCUAGUUGGUAAGGUAACGGCUUACCAAGGCGACGAUCAGUAGCCGACCUGAGAGGGUGAUCGGCCACAUUGGAACUGAGACACGGUCCAAACUCCUACGGGAGGCAGCAGUGGGGAAUAUUGCCCAAUGGGCGAAAGCCUGAUGCAGCAACGCCGCGUGAGUGAUGAAGGCCUUCGGGUCGUA